Molecule: ribosomal RNA, 254 nt
Filed under: uncultured bacterium
Lineage: Bacteria
Description: partial 16S ribosomal RNA
Rfam family: Bacterial small subunit ribosomal RNA
Source: RNAcentral
CACGUAGGGGGCGAGCGUUGUCCGGAUUUAUUGGGCGUAAAGAGCUCGUAGGCGGCUCGGUAAGUGAGGUGUGAAAACUCCAGGCUCAACCUGGAGACGCCACCUCAUACCGCCGUGGCUAGAGUCCGGUAGGGGAGCAUGGAAUUCCUGGUGUAGCGGUGAAAUGCGCAGAUAUCAGGAGGAACACCAGUGGCGAAGGCGGUGCUCUGGGCCGGAACUGACGCUGAGGAGCGAAAGCGUGGGGAGCAAACAGG